GAUGAACGCCAGCGGCAGGCCUAACACAUGCAAGUCGAGGGGCAGCACAGAAACAGCAAUGUUUUGGUGGCGACCGGCGGACGGGUGCGUAACGCGUAUGCAACCUACCUUUAACAGGGGGAUAACGGAGAGAAAUUUCCACUAAUACACCAUAACAUCGAUCAAGGCAUCUUGAUUGGUUGAAAACUCCGGUGGUUAAAGAUGGGCAUGCGUUGUAUUAGGUAGUUGGUGAGGUAAUGGCUCACCAAGCCUACGAUACAUAGGGGGACUGAGAGGUUAGCCCCCCACACUGGUACUGAGACACGGACCAGACUCCUACGGGAGGCAGCAGUGAGGAAUAUUGGUCAAUGGGGGCAACCCUGAACCAGCCAUGCCGCGUGCAGGAAGACGGCUCUAUGAGUUGUAAACUGCUUUUAAACAGGGAUAAAGCACAGUAUGUAUACUGUGUUGAAGGUACUGUAAGAAUAAGGAUCGGCUAACUCCGUGCCAGCAGCCGCCGUAA
This 502-nucleotide ribosomal RNA is filed under the name uncultured bacterium. RNAcentral describes it as "partial 16S ribosomal RNA". It matches the Rfam family "Bacterial small subunit ribosomal RNA", at positions 28 to 523 of the family's 1533-position model. The record is from RNAcentral.